This 403-nucleotide ribosomal RNA is filed under the name Actinomycetes bacterium. Its description in RNAcentral is "Actinobacteria bacterium partial 16S ribosomal RNA". It matches the Rfam family "Bacterial small subunit ribosomal RNA", at positions 355 to 776 of the family's 1533-position model. Lineage: Bacteria; Bacillati; Actinomycetota; Actinomycetes. The record is from RNAcentral.
UGGGGAAUAUUGCACAAUGGGGGAAACCCUGAUGCAGCGACGCCGCGUGAACGAAGAAGGUAUUCGUAUCGUAAAGUUCUGUCCUAUGGGAAGAUAAUGACAGUACCAUAGAAGAAAGCUCCGGCUAAAUACGUGCCAGCAGCCGCGGUAAUACGUAUGGAGCGAGCGUUGUCCGGAAUUAUUGGGCGUAAAGGGUACGCAGGCGGUUUAAUAAGUCGAAUGUUAAAGAUCGGGGCUCAACCCCGUAAAGCAUUGGAAACUGAUAAACUUGAGUAGUGGAGAGGAAAGUGGAAUUCCUAGUGUAGUGGUGAAAUACGUAGAUAUUAGGAGGAAUACCAGUAGCGAAGGCGACUUUCUGGACACAAACUGACGCUGAGGUACGAAAGCGUUGGGAGCAAACAGG